RNAcentral lists this ribosomal RNA (253 nucleotides) under uncultured bacterium. Its description in RNAcentral is "partial 16S ribosomal RNA". It matches the Rfam family "Bacterial small subunit ribosomal RNA", at positions 524 to 776 of the family's 1533-position model. The record is from RNAcentral.
UACAGGGGGGGUAAGCGUUGUUCGGAAUUACUGGGCGUAAAGGGUUCGUAGGUGGCUUGCUAAGUCUGACGUGAAAUCCCUCAGCUUAACUGGGGAACUGCGUCUGAUACUGGCGAGCUUGAGUGCAGGAGAGGAACGCGGAAUUCCAGGUGUAGCGGUGAAAUGCGUAGAUAUCUGGAGGAACACCGGUGGCGAAGGCGGCGUUCUGGACUGCAACUGACACUGAGGAACGAAAGCCAGGGGAGCAAACGGG